UUCACAAUCAUAUGUUUAUUGAUACCUUCACUGAUAAGAUAAUUAUGUAAGGUAUUACUAUCCAUUCUACCAUAUAAAUAGUUGAUUCAGUUGUGGCAUUGAUUAUCAGUCAUAAUAAUUAACAGUCAUUGACAAUAUGAAGAACGUUGGAGUAAUUAUUUUCACUAUUUUAGUAGCUUUUUGCUGCAACUUCCUUCGCUAUUAGCCAAACAUGGGGGCAGAAUUGGUAACAAGGAUAAGGUUUUAUCCUCUCAAAGGAUCUUCAAUUAUACUUAUCCUUAUGGACUAACGAGGAAAGUUCAAUUCCCUGAAUACAAAAAGACAAACAAAGUAACAAUCACUGCCAUUCAAGCUGUUGAUCAUUCGACGAACAAAACGAACAGCUAUCCAACUCUUUUUGCUGGAGGUCCUGGAUAUAAGUAUAUGACAAUGAACUUCCAAGCUGGAGCAAGGGGGUAACCUGGAUUACCAACUGAUUAUUUAUGGAAAGAAGUAGACAAAUAAAGUGUGGGAAAAUUAAAUUAUAAAAACAUAAAACAU
Long non-coding RNA from Eupeodes corollae, 540 nucleotides. RefSeq lists it as uncharacterized. NCBI's taxonomy places the organism in Eukaryota, Metazoa, Arthropoda, Insecta, Diptera, Syrphidae. The transcript has 2 exons. The record is from RefSeq and is a predicted model, not a curated record.